AUCCAGACCAGAUGUACCGCCAGGUUCCUCUCUCUGGCGUAUGGGUGCAGCAGAUACAACAUUAUGGGGGAUAUCACAAAAAAAAUAAAACUGCUCAUCUGAGGAAGAAGAGGAGAGGGUAUGUUAGCGAUUAGGACAAAACACCAGUGUUUCAAUAUGGAGAUAUUACACAAAGGCGGACCUGCUUCAACAGAAGGUGUCUAUAUUAACCUGAGCUUUAACUGUCAGGUGACAUUUUACACUGUUUCUCCUGCCUGAGCAGGUUUUACAUCGCAGAGCAGCGAGACCAGGAUGUAUAAUGCCAGGUGUAACCGCUCAGUGGAUCUCUAUUGACCGGUGGGUUAAAACGGUAAUGGAUGCCGGGAUUUUCUUCACGGACCAACACCUGCAACAUACAGAUGCGGGAAUAAACUGUACAUGGAGGAAAAAAAAUCCAUCAAAUGAUGUAAAACAUUCAGCAUUUUCAGAUGUCAAGUCAAUGCUUAAAGUGAUAUAAAGUUUUACAGAGCUUCCUAUGAUUUCCGCAAUACAGAAUCACGGAAUCACAUACGGAAUUCGCUCUAGAGUGCUGAAUUUGACGUAAUUUGACAAAUUUUGUGUGGAAACAUUUCAUUGUUUGCAGUACGCAACACGGUCACGUGAUUACGCACAGUCAACUAUAAAUAUGCAUUCUGAAUAGAGAAACCCAAAGAGACCAUCGGAGACCACAAGGGGCCCUAUCUUGCACCCAGAGCAAUUGACUUUGUCAGUGACGCAUGUAUCAUUUGUAUUUUGCAUCGGCGCACAGCAGGUUUUUCCCUCCACAGACGCACAACUAGGGAAUGAACUUGCGCUCCCUGGGCGGUUCAGUGCAAAAAAGGAGGCGUGUUGCGGCGCAAACCAUCCCUGAUGCUAUUUUGCAGUUUCAAAAAACAAUUGCGCCACUGACCAAAAAAAACUAGUCUAAAGGCAGCAUUGCGCGUGGUUCAUAUAUUUUAAGGGCGCAUGCUUGGCCAUAAUAAAUAGCGUGCACAACGCGCGCACACUUUGCUUAUCUAAUCUACACAGAUGCAACAGUUAUUUUUGCAAAUCAUAAAUUGUUACAAUAAAAAAUUGUAAAAUUGCUCUGCUGGCGUCAGGUCAUGUGUGGAGGCAGAUCCACCUCCCGUUACACGGCGUGCCCGAUUUAUGCUGGCAAGCUUGGGAUCCCCCGUCUCCUGACAUCAUUGUAGCGCUUGGCGCAACGUCCUGGGGAUGCCAGCUGAUGAGACAAUUGUGGCUAUUUCCUCCCACGCUUGUUUAACCGACGCCGAUUUGGGCGAGUUUCUUCCAUCCACAUACAAAACAACUUCUCUGUCUUUGACUGCUCUUACAAGAACGUCGGUCUCCUCGGCUGUGAACCGCGCCUGGCGUGCGCCUGGUA
Long non-coding RNA from Paramisgurnus dabryanus, 1402 nucleotides. RefSeq lists it as uncharacterized. The record is from RefSeq and is a predicted model, not a curated record. NCBI's taxonomy places the organism in Eukaryota, Metazoa, Chordata, Actinopteri, Cypriniformes, Cobitidae.